UCCCAUGGCAGCCCCAGUCCCACUGCCACGUGUCCUGGCUCUCAGGACAGCGGGGCCUGAGCAGCUACAGCUGCACACAAACACUGGAAUGAGCAAAGGGGCACUAAAGGAUUCCCUGAUCACCACCCCACAUGUGUGCUGUGCCCACAGCUUUCCUGAGGGCUGCAGAUCCAUGGCCCAAUCGUUUCAUCAGCUCAGCUUCCACAGUGCAGGGAUGAUGUGUGAGACAGCCCUGCUCUCAGAAAGCACAGAAUCCUGGAAUGUCCUGAGCUGGAGGGACCCACAGGGAUCAUCCCAACCCCUGUCCCUGCCCAGACCCCAACAACCUCACCCUGGGCAUCCCUGGCAGCGCUGUCCAAACUCUCCUGGAGCUCUGGCAGCCUCGGGGCCAGAAAAAGGAGAAACUCCUGUGCCCUCUAAAAUGAACUGCAACACAAAAAGAGAACUGGAUCUCUUGGGAACACCAGCCUGGCUGAAAAGCUCCCAACACCCCCAUGUUUUAUCCAGCUCCAGAGCAGGAGCAGCCACGUCCCUGCCACAGCUGACACCUGGAGCGGGUCACAGCCCAGUGCAGUAAAAUAUUCACAUUUAAAGCAAAGAGCAUGAAACAGUAGAAAUCUUUCCAAAGCUUAAAUAAAUGUUACUUUGACUGAAUGGA
Molecule: long non-coding RNA, 658 nt
Organism: Vidua chalybeata
Lineage: Eukaryota; Metazoa; Chordata; Aves; Passeriformes; Viduidae
Exons: 2
Source: RefSeq, a predicted model, not a curated record